GUGCCAGCAGCCGCGGUAAUACGAACUGUGCGAACGUUAUUCGGAAUCACUGGGCUUACAGGGUGCGUAGGCGGCUUGUUAAGUAGGGUGUGAAAGCCCCCGGCUCAACCGGGGAAUUGCGCCCUAAACUGGCGAGCUGGAGUGAGAUAGGGGUGUGUGGAACUUCCGGUGGAGCGGUGAAAUGUGUUGAUAUCGGAAGGAACGCCGGUGGCGAAAGCGACACACUGGAUCUUGUCUGACGCUGAGGCACGAAAGCCAGGGGAGCGAACGGGAUUAGAAACCCCCGUAGUCC
This 292-nucleotide ribosomal RNA is filed under the name uncultured bacterium. Its description in RNAcentral is "partial 16S ribosomal RNA". It matches the Rfam family "Bacterial small subunit ribosomal RNA", at positions 505 to 796 of the family's 1533-position model. The record is from RNAcentral.